CGCAGGAAGCUGGGCUUUACACGAUCUUGCAGGCGGACACAGGGCUGGGGCGUGGGCAGGCGGCCCACCGUUCCUCCCCGCUGCCCCGUUCAUGGGCUCUGGGGCAGAGGAAGCUGUGUCCCUCACGGAGGGAGAGGGGGCACACACCGUCCUUCAGGGGCUUGGGCGUCCCUCUUCGAGUGGCAGCAAAGGGAGUAUCUACAGAUGGGGAAACUGAGGCUCAGAGAUCUAAAAUGCCUAGAGUGGCUAACCGCUCAGUGGUGCAACCAGGAUCAAAACCCUGCCUCCGGGGCUCUCCCAGGCUCCUUCACUGCUGACAACCCUCAGCCCCGUCUCAGGGGACACAGCCAGAGACAGAAAGUGAGCACAAGCAGGGGGAGCAGGAGAG
Molecule: long non-coding RNA, 388 nt
Organism: Mustela erminea (ermine)
Lineage: Eukaryota; Metazoa; Chordata; Mammalia; Carnivora; Mustelidae
Exons: 3
Source: RefSeq, a predicted model, not a curated record